This 404-nucleotide ribosomal RNA is filed under the name Actinomycetes bacterium. RNAcentral's name for it is "Actinobacteria bacterium partial 16S ribosomal RNA". It matches the Rfam family "Bacterial small subunit ribosomal RNA", at positions 355 to 776 of the family's 1533-position model. The record is from RNAcentral. Lineage: Bacteria; Bacillati; Actinomycetota; Actinomycetes.
UGGGGAAUAUUGGACAAUGGGCGCAAGUCUGAUCCAGCCAUGCCGCGUGAGUGAUGAAGGCCCUAGGGUUGUAAAGCUCUUUCACCGGUGAAGAUAAUGACGGUAACCGGAGAAGAAGCCCCGGCUAACUUCGUGCCAGCAGCCGCGGUAAUACGAAGGGGGCUAGCGUUGUUCGGAUUUACUGGGCGUAAAGCGCACGUAGGCGGACUUUUAAGUCAGGGGUGAAAUCCCGGGGCUCAACCCCGGAACUGCCUUUGAUACUGGAAGUCUUGAGUAUGGUAGAGGUGAGUGGAAUUCCGAGUGUAGAGGUGAGAUUCGUAGAUAUUCGGAGGAAAACCAGUGGCGAAGGCGGCUCACUGGACCAUUACUGACGCUGAGGUGCGAAAGAGUGGGGAGCAAAAAGG